This 599-nucleotide long non-coding RNA is filed under the name Equus asinus (donkey). Its description in RNAcentral is "lncRNA (ENSEASG00005033805.1)". Lineage: Eukaryota; Metazoa; Chordata; Mammalia; Perissodactyla; Equidae. The record is from RNAcentral.
GGUUCGCACUUAAGUAUCUCUGGUGAGAUGCCCCACGGACAGCUUUACGCAGCACACUAGGAGGUGGGCUUCUUGAAGAUCCAUUACCAUGGCUUACUCGCAGAGUCCUUUCAGACGAUUGGCCCUGAGCUAACAUCUGUUGCCAAUCUUCCUCUUUUUGCUUGAAGAAGAUUGUUGCUGAGCUAACAUCUGUGCCAAUCUUGCUCUGCUUUAGUGGGAAUGCUGCUGCAGUGUGGCCUGAUGAGAGCUGAUAGCUCCCACCUGAGAUCAGAACCUGCAAACCUUGGGUGACCGAAGCAGAGCACAUGAACUUAACCACUGUGCCACAGAGCUGGCCCCAACCAUCUCAGCUUUCAAUUGGACCCUAGGCUGAAUUCCAGGAUCUGAGAACACUCCUGUUUGCAGGCAAUGUUCUCCCCGGAAGGGCCAUAAGAGGAAUGGGCAGAACAUCCUGUUUGCAAGCCAGCUCAGCCGCAACUCAGCUCCAUGAAAUGUCCUGUAUGCAAGCACAUUCAUGUUCUUAGGCCAGAUCUCCUUCAAUGUUAUAUGUCUAUUAUAUCAAAAUUUUAAAUAAACGAAUCCAAGUGUAUACUUUAAAU